GAAAUGCGAUAAGUAAUGUGAAUUGCAGAAUUCAGUGAAUCAUCGAAUCUUUGAACGCACAUUGCGCCCGCCAGUAUUCUGGCGGGCAUGCCUGUUCGAGCGUCAUUUCAACCAUCAAGCCCCGGGCUUGUGUUGGGGACCUGCGGCUGCCGCAGGCCCUGAAAACCAGUGGCGGGCUCGCUGUCACACCGAGCGUAGUAGAUUCUCAUCUCGCUCAGGGCGUGCUGCGGGUUCCGGCCGGAAAACAGCCUUAUUUUACCCAAGGUUGACCUCGGAUCAGGUAGGAAGACCCGCUGAACUUAAGC
Molecule: unclassified non-coding RNA, 305 nt
Filed under: plant metagenome
Description: partial contains 5.8S ribosomal RNA, internal transcribed spacer 2, and large subunit ribosomal RNA
Rfam family: 5.8S ribosomal RNA (bases 1-105)
Source: RNAcentral